RNAcentral lists this ribosomal RNA (118 nucleotides) under eudicot environmental sample. RNAcentral's name for it is "partial 18S ribosomal RNA". The record is from RNAcentral. Lineage: Eukaryota; Viridiplantae; Streptophyta; Magnoliopsida.
UUGGACUUUGGGUUGGGUCGGCCGGUCCGCCCUCUGGGUGUGCACCGGUUUACUCGUCCCUUCUGUCGGCGAUACGCUCCUAGCCUUAAUUGGCCGGGUCGUGCCUCCGGCGCUGUUA